RNA transcript from Numida meleagris (helmeted guineafowl), 2908 nucleotides. It is a transcript of the gene named tubulin delta 1, with no coding region annotated. NCBI's taxonomy places the organism in Eukaryota, Metazoa, Chordata, Aves, Galliformes, Numididae. The record is from RefSeq and is a predicted model, not a curated record. The transcript is spliced from 10 exons.
CGGCGCGGGCCCUGUCAGCGCCCCGGGGGCGGGCGCGGUCGGCACGGGGAGGUCGGUGCCACACGCAGAGAAUUGCGUCUAAGCUGCCAUCUGCAUUCUUUGGCGUUCAAGUUGAAGUGCUGACAGUCGGUAUUUCACCAGAAAUAGCCGCUGGCUGUACUGGUGCCUUUCCCUCCUCACUAGAGGUUGUCAGAAAUUACAAAAAUGAUCAGAAUUCUGUUUGUCCCAACCUUCGUAACAUCCUUUUCCCCCCCCAAAGGCAUAUGUUUUUUUUUUAGGGCUAAACACGAGGUGAAUUAGAAUGUCAAUAGUCACAGUCCAGCUUGGCCAGUGUGGUAACCAAAUUGGCCAUGAGGUGUUUAACACUGUUUGUGGUGAUGUCCGUGGCACACAUGGAUUGUGUUCCAAGAAGGAGAACGAAGCCUACCAUGAUGCUUGUACAGAACGGUUUUUCAGCGAGGCAGAGUCUGGAGUACCUGUUGCCCGGGCUGUGCUUGUUGACAUGGAACCUAAAGUCAUCAGCCAAACUUUGUCAAUAGCUGCCCGGUCUGGCCACUGGAAAUACGAUGAUCAGUCGCACUUCUGUCAGAAGCAAGGGUCCGGGAACAACUGGGCAAAUGGUUAUUCUGUUCAUGGGCCUAGAAACAAAGAAGUAAUCAUGAAUCUAGUACAAAAAGAAGUAGAGAAAUGUGACCGACUCAGUGGAUUUUUCACCAUAAUGAGCAUGGCUGGUGGUACGGGUUCUGGCCUAGGAGCAUUUGUGACUCAGUGUUUAAGAGAUGCUUUUCCAACCUCAUUUAUACUAAACCACAUUAUCUGGCCCUACGGCACUGGUGAGGUCAUUGUUCAAAACUACAACUCUGUUUUGACUCUGUCACAUCUGUAUCAGUCAUCAGAUGCUCUUCUUGUUCAUGAAAAUGAUGUCAUCCACAAGAUUUGUGCUCAGCUGAUGCAUAUUAAACAGAUCUCCUUCAGGGAUGUAAAUCAAGUCAUUGCACAUCAACUGGGGAGUGUUUUCCAGCCCGCUCGCACAGCAGAAGCUGGCUUACACUACAGCAGAAACCCUUUAGGGGACUUAAUGGAGACGUUAGUUCCACAUCCUGAAUUCAAGAUGUUGGGUCUCCGUAACAUACCUCAGAUGCCUGAAAACUCCCUUGCAUACAGCACGUUCAGUUGGCCUGGACUCAUCAAACAUCUGAGGCAAAUGCUCAUUGCUAACGCUAAAAUGGAGGAAGGUAUUGAUUGGCAAGUGCGGCCGCCGUGUCCAGGCUCCUCCAUCCCCUCCAGUCAUUCCAGAAACAAGCAUUUCAAUACUUCCAUUGCCAACCUGGUCAUCCUGCGAGGAAAAGACACGCACAGUGUAGACUUAGGAAGUUUCCAAGAUCCCUCAUUAUAUACAUCAUGGCUAAAUCCUCAGGAUGCUUUCAAUGCAUGGAAAACCCCAAGAGCAUUUAAUAAGUAUGAAAAGUCUGCUUCUCUGGUUAGCAAUAGCCAGUUCCUGCUGAAACCUCUUGACAAUGUUGUAGGAAAAGCUUGGAAUAUGUUUGCUUCCAAAUCUCUAAUGUCUUGUCCAUUUUUCAACUGUGACUUCAACACACAGAGCCUAUGUUCACCAGUACACUAAGUUUGGAAUCGAAGAGGAAGAUUUCUUGGACAGUUUCACAGCUCUGGAACAAGUUAUUUCCAGUUACACCAACCUCUGAUUUUUGAAAUGGUCUCCUCCUGAAAGAACCCAGCACUGGAAGACCUUUCAUCAGCUAUCAAGUAUAUAAAUUACUGGACUACAACUCUUUGUUAAUCUUGUGCUAGAAUCAAACUGCAUGAGAAUGGAGUGUGUUUGUAUGGGCAGGUCGGGAACAGAAGCACUGAAAUCCAUCCAGGAACAGCUGUUCUCAAAGUAGCUCUGGAUCAUGAGAUCUGGAAAGGCAAACAAAGCUGACAGGAUCCAAGUAACUGUACAACUGACUCUGGAGAAAGUACUGGGGAUGUGGAGAGCAGAGGGUCAAGUGGCAGGAAGCGAAUAACUAUUAUCAAAUGUACAUCAUCUCAAAUUAUAUUAGAAGAUGGAGAAUUAUUUUUUUACUAUUAUUUUAUGGAGAAAAUGAAUUGUGUAAACGAGAGCUUGAGCCUGGCUGAGGGCUGUUACUUCAUUAGCAGCUGAAAUCAUCGAGGUAGAUCAAAAGGCAUCCCAAGGCAAUGGUGAGCCAAGGGACCGCAGCACCGGUGGCCCUGACCCCACUGCUUUUAGGCAAACUAUCCACAGGAAAUCCAUGAACCAAAGAACAAUGCAUCGAAUCUCACUAUUGUUUGUUGUCACAGACAGGUGCAGGUCCCCUGGAAGUUGAUUCAAGGACUAACUGUAGCAGAAAUACUGAGCGAACAGGAUAACUUUAUUUGGUCACCAGAAAAACAGGACCUAAGUGUAAUGUGUUGCAAGUACUUUAAAGACAGUGACUGGCACCGAUGUAACUUAUUUGGACUUGCUUGUAAAGUAGGACUCCAUUACCAGUAAAGAAAGGAUAUGAACAAUGAAAAUGGACUUUUAGGGGACUUACGGGCAUGGAGUUAGCAACAGGAACAGUUCUAGAUUAAGGGCAAAAACCUGUGGUUUCCACAAAGACCAGAAUUCUGCCAACAUGGAAAAAGGAAGUCGUGUGCGAAUUAGCAGCUGGUACAUGACUGGGAAACGUUAGGGUGAAAAAUGUAUUGAAUGAAUCAUUCAUUUCCUUUAGCAUUUGUUAAUAAAUUCAGUAUAAGUGCUAUGAAAUGACAACCCAAACAUCCUAAAGGAAAUACUCUCGGAUGUCAAAGCAUACUUUAAGGAAGUCUGAGAUUUGCUGGACACCGCUUUAAAAACUGAAUAACAGCCAUCAGGAAUGUGAUUCAUGGAUCUGCUGUAUUACAAAAA